Molecule: ribosomal RNA, 466 nt
Filed under: Vreelandella stevensii
Lineage: Bacteria; Pseudomonadati; Pseudomonadota; Gammaproteobacteria; Oceanospirillales; Halomonadaceae
Description: partial 16S ribosomal RNA
Rfam family: Bacterial small subunit ribosomal RNA
Source: RNAcentral
CCUACGGGGAGGCUGCAGUGGGGAAUAUUGGACAAUGGGCGAAAGCCUGAUCCAGCCAUGCCGCGUGUGUGAAGAAGGCCUUCGGGUUGUAAAGCACUUUCAGUGGGGAAGAAAGCCUUGGGGCUAAUACCCUCGAGGAAGGACAUCACCCACAGAAGAAGCACCGGCUAACUCCGUGCCAGCAGCCGCGGUAAUACGGAGGGUGCGAGCGUUAAUCGGAAUUACUGGGCGUAAAGCGCGCGUAGGCGGUCUGAUAAGCCGGUUGUGAAAGCCCCGGGCUCAACCUGGGAACGGCAUCCGGAACUGUCAGGCUAGAGUGCAGGAGAGGAAGGUAGAAUUCCCGGUGUAGCGGUGAAAUGCGUAGAGAUCGGGAGGAAUACCAGUGGCGAAGGCGGCCUUCUGGACUGACACUGACGCUGAGGUGCGAAAGCGUGGGUAGCAAACAGGAUUAGAUACCCGAGUAGUC